UAUGUGCAAAAUUCGAAGAUU
Molecule: non-coding RNA, 21 nt
Filed under: Caenorhabditis elegans
Lineage: Eukaryota; Metazoa; Nematoda; Chromadorea; Rhabditida; Rhabditidae
Source: RNAcentral